CAGUAGCCGCGGGAAUACGUAGGUCCCGAGCGUUGUCCGGAUUUAUUGGGCGUAAAGCGAGCGCAGGCGGUUAGAUAAGUCUGAAGUUAAAGGCUGUGGCUUAACCAUAGUACGCUUUGGAAACUGUUUAACUUGAGUGCAAGAGGGGAGAGUGGAAUUCCAUGUGUAGCGGUGAAAUGCGUAGAUAUAUGGAGGAACACCGGUGGCGAUGGCGACUCUCUGGUCUGUAACUGACGCUGAGGCUCGAAAGCGUGGGGAGCAAACAGGAUUAGAUACCCCCGUAGUCCCUGUCUCUUAUACC
Molecule: ribosomal RNA, 301 nt
Filed under: uncultured bacterium
Lineage: Bacteria
Description: partial 16S ribosomal RNA
Rfam family: Bacterial small subunit ribosomal RNA
Source: RNAcentral